RNAcentral lists this long non-coding RNA (531 nucleotides) under Sinocyclocheilus anshuiensis. RNAcentral describes it as "lncRNA (ENSSANG00000004870.1)". The record is from RNAcentral. Lineage: Eukaryota; Metazoa; Chordata; Actinopteri; Cypriniformes; Cyprinidae.
UUCUCUUCUUAUAGUCUGGGUUUGUUAACCUGUGUGAUCCCUGACAGCUGUGUGUGUGUGUGUGUGUGUGUGUGUGUGUGUGUGUGUGUGUGUGUUUUUGUCUGUGUGUGUUUUGCAGCAGAAGGGGAGAUUGUGGACGGUGAGGGAAAGUCAGACUCCAGUCCGGAGAGAGAGGCCGCAGCAGAAGAUGACUCUAAAGACACAGAUCCCUGCAAGAAAAGGAAGAGGAAGCCCUACCGCCCUGGUAUUGGAGGAUUCAUGGUUAGACAGAGGAACCGGACAGGUCUGGGCAGAACCAAACAGGCCUUGUUCAGGAAGGACUCCACUGGCUCUGAGACCCUGCAAGGCAAAGAUGAGAGCUGGGGUGACCAAGCGCCUGACACUCCAAUCGAUGAAAAACCACCUUUGUCUGAUUUUCCCGACAACACUGAGGUUAAAAUACGGAAACGCUACAGGAAAAAGAAGACCAAACUGGAGGAGGCUUUCCCUGCUUACCUACAGGUCAACUUUUAAAAUAUAAUAUAUUAACUC